Molecule: long non-coding RNA, 4191 nt
Organism: Equus asinus (donkey)
Lineage: Eukaryota; Metazoa; Chordata; Mammalia; Perissodactyla; Equidae
Source: Ensembl
CAAUAAAUGACUCCCUUUCUAAAAAUUGCUUUUGUCGUGUAGCAUUGGAAAUACAAAAAAUAGUAUAUACCAACACACACACGUGCAAUAAAAUAGAAUUCACACUCAAGAUACGGUACCCAACUUCAGAAUUAGAACAUUACAAGUAUUUUUGAAGUUAUCUAUGCAUUCCUCCCUGAUUCCAUCCUUUUGCCUACCACACAGAAUUAAACAAUAUUCUAAAUUUAGUGCUUAUUUUCUCUUCUGUUUAUCCCCACAUAGGGAUAUGGCUCUAAACAAUAUAUUGCAUGAUGUGUUAUUAGCUUUUUAUAAGUAGUAUCAGCUUCAUAAAAACGGUAAUUUUCUGUGACUUUCUUUACUCAGCACUACGAUUCAUCUUCCCUAGUGUGUGUGCUAUUGUUUGUCUACUUUCAUUACUUUUAAUUAUAUGAUUGUGCAAAUAUAUCAUGAGUUAUCCAUCAUCAGAUUGAUGGCUGGUUGUUUCCAGUGUUUUGCUAUUACUAACAGUGCUGCAUAAACAUGCUUGUAUACGUCACCUUAUUUUCGUUACCCAAGUUCAAGUCUGUCUCAAGGCCUUUGUGAGGCAGUCCUGAUCACAGAAACCAGCCCGAGUGUGUCAAACCAAAGGAUUUAAUAUAGGGAAUUGGAUGAAAAGAUAUUGGAAGGAGCAAGGGGGCGGGAUCUGCAAGAGUGAAAGGAAAGGAAGAAUGAUACUCAGAGAUCAGAUGCUACUAAUGCCCCAAGGCUGAAAGUCUCUGAAUCCACCAGCUGCUGCACUGUUGGGUGUGGUGUUCCGGUACAUAACGGAUCUGCUGAGAUGAGCUGCUUUGACCAGGCCUGGGCUUCUGAAAGGUGUUAUCUCUGCAGUGCUGGAGGUAGAAACAGCUUGACCCCGUUAUUUCUCAACCUGCAGCUGCCAGAAACUGCCAGGACCUGCCUCAUUCUGAGAGCCAGAAGCAUAAAGCAUUUCCGUUUCUCUUGCCUACUGAUCUCCUGAAAAUUUCUUCUCCUGACUGAAUCUUACCAAGGGCCAGAUGGCAAAGUAGCACAAAACGUAAUUUUCAGAUUCCUACGCUCUGAUAAAGUAUUAAAGGGGAGAUGUUGGGUUCAGAGAUCGGCAAAUAAGCAACACAAGCCCUCACUUCUAACUGAAAGCAGAAAAUUUAGCUUAAUUGUUCUCAGGUAAACUUGGCCAAGUAGUGAUUUCUCAGUCAUUUCAAAUUUAAUAACAUUCAAAGCCAGAGUUCUUCAAUUCUUUACUUUCUCUCAAUCAUAGUAUUUAAAUUCUAAGGGUGGAUAACUAAAUCCAAGAGUUGGAAAGAGGCCUACUCAUUUGCUCGGGCCACCACAACAAGCAGCACAGGCUGGGUGGCUUAGACAGCGGAGAGUCAUUUUCUCAUCGUUCUGGAGGUUAGAAGUUUGAGAUCAGUGUGUUGGCAGCCUUGGCUUCUUCUAAGUUCUCUCUCCUCGACUUCUUGGCUCAGAGACGGCCGUCCUCCUGCAGUGUCUUCACACGGUCUUUCUUCUGUGUGUGUGUCCCGAUCUCCUCUUCUCAUAAGGCAUCCGUUAUAUUGGAUUAGGACCCACCCACAUUGAUAUCGACCCUGACAUCAGUUUCCCCACGUUAAACCCAGCAUAUAUGGGGUUAAAACCAAAACACUCAUUCCCUGCUUACUCUCUGGCUUCCUGGCUCCAGAAUCCACUAUCCUCCAUGGAGACGGACACCGUCAAGGACAAGCACCUGGACUAUCUCCUCCCACAAAGAGAUACAGACUGGUGGGAAAGCUGCUGACCAGCAAGGUCACAGGCUUCCUCCUCUCUGUAAAUGUCUCAAGGCCGAAGACAGGCUGGUUGGGAAAGCUCCGACCAGCAAGGCCAUAUGCUCCCCCUCCCCUACCUAAAACCCCAAAUAGAAACCCUUCCUUUUAGCUUUUUGGGGAGUUUGGGAUUUCAGCGUUAGCUGCCCUCUCUCCUUGCUCAGCGCUGUGCAAAAAUAAAGUUCCUACUUUCUUCCACCACCCCCGGUGUCAGAGAUUGGCUUGCUGCGCAACGGGUGAGGGAACUCACUUCAGGUUCAGUAACAAUUUGGCACCCCAGAUGGGACAAUGUCCCAGGUGGACGUCUCGCCUGUGGCACACCGGCCUCUGGCUAAAGGCCUCUCUUGGAAGCUGUCCUGCAGCUGCCUGAGCCCCUUGUCUCAGGGACAGCCCCAAGUGACUGGCUGCUAGCCAGACGUUGGCCCAUGGCGCUUUUGCUUUGGUGGUGGAAGAAACCAGGUUUAGGACAUAGGAAGACGUCUCUUGUAAGUAGCUGGUAGUUUUUGUUUUUGUCUUUGUGUUAACCUUCUCCAACAGGACCGGCUGGAAAUAAUGGGUACCCUGGCAGCCCUCUGGGCUCCAUUUGUUUUGAAGUCGCCGCGAUGCCCCGGCCAAAUUUUGAGUGAAGAAAACUUUUUUUCUCUAUUCUCUGAAAGAACUAUGACUUGCAACAAUUUAUAAACAAAAUUGAAACAUUUGUCUUUUCCUCCCUAUCUGAGCCCCCCAAAACGCAAAAACUUCUGAUAAGACACAAUUGGAAACAGUGGUUAUAUUACCAAGGCUUUGACUGGAACAUCAUGUUUGAAAAAACAGAUGGGCUUGAGUAUAACAAGACAGCUUUUGAGGAAUGAAGGUUGACAUUCUGGAAUAAAGCCACUUGGAAAUAUUGGCCUGGUACUGUGCUUAUGGGUUCUGUAACCUGGUAAGGUUGAGCAAAGAAUGUCACUCCCUCUGGCAGGUACCAGGAACCUCAAUAUUUUGGGGAACCUCACGAAGAGAGAGAUUCACCCAAAUCUGCAGGUACUGCAGGCAGAAUGUGAUACAGGUCCUUUGCUUGGCUUUCCUUGAGAGGCCUUUAAAGAUCAACCUGAGAUUCCAUAUAAGGUUCCAGCAAAGCAGAUUUAAAAGAGCCUAUAUGAUAAAUUACUAUUCUUGCUAUGCUUAUUAAAUAGUUAAAUAAUUAUGCCAAAUUUAUUAAAACUAUACAUUUUGCAAACCAGAGUGAAAUUGAGGGUGAUUUUAGGGAGGAAGAUUAUGUUUCAAUGGACACUAUAAUACAUGUUUAUAGAUAUUAGACUUUAGUUUUUUCAAUUGUCUUUGAAAUUUUUAUUUUACUUCUGUUAACUGGACUGGAUCUUGAAUUCUUCACCUCCUGAAAUAUCUGGCUAAAAACCUCCAAACUGAGAUUUUCAGGGUUUUUUCCCCCAUUAUUUUCAUUUAGAGUCAUUGAAAACUAAAUGUGCCCUUUUUCUAAAGCCUUACAAACUGAAGCUGGAGGACCUAAUAGAAACUUCAGAGAGAUUCAUGUCUGCUGCUGUGUAAGCCACUCAAAAAGCUACCUGAGUGCCCGAUGACACCAUCAGAGACAUUUCAAACUGCAGAAGAUGCUUCGACCCUGACUUCCAGGACUCUUGAUUGGCUGCCCCCUGGGCUCAGAAACUGGUUUAUAAUUUGCUCCAACGAUUAACCUCGUUUUUCUCUUUUUGUUUCUCUAGAAAAACUUCGUAUUAAAUACCUGGUUACUUACUUACAUGAUACAGGCCCACCUUCAGGAGCCCACCAGCAUCACCGCCUUAUUAAAAGACUGGUUCAAUGAGAUGAAAUGACCUAUGCCCCAUUUCAGCAGGAAGUAGCUAGAUCCGUCGCCGCCCCAAAUCCCUCAAGAUUGAGGGAGGACAUAAAAUAGGGGGGAGUUGAUAUCGACCCUGAUAUCAGUUUCCCCACAUUAAACUCAGCAUGUAUGGGGUUAAAACCAAAACACUCAUUCCCUGCUUACUCUCUGGCUUCCUGGCUCCAGAAUCCACUAUCCUCCAUGGAGACAGACACCGUCAAGGACAAGCACCUGGACUAUCUCCUCCCACAAAGAGAUACAGACUGGUGGGAAAGCUGGUGACCAGCAAGGUCACAGGCUUCCUCCUCUCUGUAAAUGUCUCAAGGCCAAAGACAGGCUGGUUGGGAAAGCUCCGACCAGCAAGGCCAUAUGCUCCCCCUCCCCUACCUGAAACCCCAAAUAGAAACCCUUCCUUUUAGCUUUUCGGGGAGUUUGGGAUUUCAGCGUUAGCUACCCUCUCUCCUUGCUCAGCGCUGUGCAAAAGUAAAGUUCCUACUUUCUUCCACCACCCCCGGUGUCAGAGAUUGGCUUGCUGUGCAACGG